CAGUAGCCGCGGUAAAACGGAGGGUGCAAGCGUUAAUCGGAAUUACUGGGCGUAAAGCGUGCGUGGGCGGUUCGUUAAGUCUGUUGUGAAAGCCCCGGGCUCAACCUGGGAAUGGCAAUGGAUACUGGCGAGCUAGAGUGUGUCAGAGGAUGGUGGAAUUCCCGGUGUAGCGGUGAAAUGCGUAGAGAUCGGGAGGAACAUCAGUGGCGAAGGCGGCCAUCUGGGACAACACUGACGCUGAGGCACGAAAGCGUGGGGAGCAAACAGGAUUAGAUACCCCCGUAGUCCCUGUCUCUUAUAC
Molecule: ribosomal RNA, 301 nt
Filed under: uncultured bacterium
Lineage: Bacteria
Description: partial 16S ribosomal RNA
Rfam family: Bacterial small subunit ribosomal RNA
Source: RNAcentral